CUCUACUAAAAAUACAAAAAAUUAGCUGGACGUGCUGGUGCACACCUGUAGUCUCACCUACUCGGGAGGCUGAGACACAAGAAUUGCUUAAACCCAGGAAGCGGAGGUUGCAGUGAGCCGAGAUUGCGCCAUUGCCCUCCAGCCUGGGCAAAAAGAGCAAAACUCUGUCUCAAAAAAAAAAAAAAAAAAAAAAAAAACUAAAUGGUUCUAGACCAGUGAAAAUUGGAAAAGGCACACCUCCUCUGAAGGAGAACAGCCAAAUCUCAGCUCCUAAUUCCCCUCCCACCUUCCACCCAACCCCAGGGUCCCCCAUGGUAUUCCCCAGGCCAGGAGGAAGGUGAGGCAAGCAAGGCACUUGCCCAUCAUGCAAAAGGCUCUUCUGUUUCAUGACUCAGCACAACACUGCUACUAAUCCUGUCUUUAUUUAAAAUUUUAAUAUUUUGGCUGGGAGCUGUGGCUCACGCCUGUAAUCCCAGCACUUUGGGAGGCCGAGGCGGGCAGAUCACUCACAAGUUCGAGACCAGCCUGGCCAACAUGGUGAAACCCUGUCUCUGCUAAAAAUACAAAAUUAUCCAGGCAUAGUGGCGCACACCUGUAAUCCCAGCUACUCAGGAGGCUGAGGCAGGAGAAUCACUUGAACCAGGGGCUGGAGGUUGCAGUGAGCUGAGAUCGCACCAUUGAACUCCAGCCUGGGCAACAAGAGCAAAACUCUAUCUCAAAAAUAAAUAAAUAAAUAAAUAAAUAAAUGAAAUUUUAAUAUUUUGUUCAUUAUAGAUAUUUUCAUAUU
This 787-nucleotide long non-coding RNA is filed under the name Homo sapiens (human). Its description in RNAcentral is "HSALNT0074322". The record is from RNAcentral. Lineage: Eukaryota; Metazoa; Chordata; Mammalia; Primates; Hominidae.